CUUGCUCUGGUGGCGAGUGGCGAACGGGUGAGUAAUAUAUCGGAACGUACCCUAGAGUGGGGGAUAACGUAGCGAAAGUUACGCUAAUACCGCAUACGAUCUAAGGAUGAAAGUGGGGGAUCGCAAGACCUCAUGCUCGUGGAGCGGCCGAUAUCUGAUUAGCUAGUUGGUAGGGUAAAAGCCUACCAAGGCAUCGAUCAGUAGCUGGUCUGAGAGGACGACCAGCCACACUGGAACUGAGACACGGUCCAGACUCCUACGGGAGGCAGCAGUGGGGAAUUUUGGACAAUGGGCGAAAGCCUGAUCCAGCAAUGCCGCGUGAGUGAAGAAGGCCUUCGGGUUGUAAAGCUCUUUUGUCAGGGAAGAAACGGUGAGAGCUAAUAUCUUUUGCUAAUGACGGUACCUGAAGAAUAAGCACCGGCUAACUACGUGCCAGCAGCCGCGGUAAUACGUAGGGUGCAAGCGUUAAUCGGAAUUACUGGGCGUAAAGCGUGCGCAGGCGGUUUUGUAAGUCUGAUGUGAAAUCCCCGGGCUCAACCUGGGAAUUGCAUUGGAGACUGCAAGGCUAGAAUCUGGCAGAGGGGGGUAGAAUUCCACGUGUAGCAGUGAAAUGCGUAGAUAUGUGGAGGAACACCGAUGGCGAAGGCAGCCCCCUGGGUCAAGAUUGACGCUCAUGCACGAAAGCGUGGGAGCAAAC
This 697-nucleotide ribosomal RNA is filed under the name Janthinobacterium lividum. RNAcentral's name for it is "bacterial SSU rRNA". It matches the Rfam family "Bacterial small subunit ribosomal RNA", at positions 79 to 773 of the family's 1533-position model. The record is from RNAcentral. Lineage: Bacteria; Pseudomonadati; Pseudomonadota; Betaproteobacteria; Burkholderiales; Oxalobacteraceae.